CACGUACUAUAAUAUGUGUGGAUGGAAAAGGUUGGCAGCAUUUAAAAAUUGUUGAAUUCUGUCAGUGUAUUAAGGAUGCUGAAAAACUAAUUAAACUCCA
Long non-coding RNA from Xenia sp. Carnegie-2017, 100 nucleotides. RefSeq lists it as uncharacterized. The transcript is spliced from 2 exons. The record is from RefSeq and is a predicted model, not a curated record. NCBI's taxonomy places the organism in Eukaryota, Metazoa, Cnidaria, Anthozoa, Malacalcyonacea, Xeniidae.